UGCGAUGUGGCGGCGAAUGGGAAAUUGUGUAGCAGGUGCGCGAGAUACUCGCGCUCCAACCGUAUCAAGUACAAACGCUGGUACCACGAAUCACCUCUCGAGCAUGUACCUCUGCGCUUGCAAUCGAGUUCACGGAAAAAUACGUAUUACCAGCGGAGAGGGGGAGGGGACAAUGACACCGGACGAAGUAAAAUUCUUAGAGCUUGUAAACGGAGAGCAGCUGAAGCCCCCGUCGCGGCGGAUACCAUCCCACAAUGAAUAAAUUUUGAAUAGUUCUCGGGUCGCUGUAACCCAUUUCACCGAAUGUCAACUCUGCAGUGGCAUAGGAAACAAGCUUCGUCUUUUCAGCAUAAAAUGUCAUCUUUAUACGAAAUAUGAGGUUAGAUGAUAAAAAUGAGCUUGGUUUUGCGACAACGCGCAGUGCAGUGUAGUUAUAUUUGUUCAAAAUUUAAUUAUGAAAUGUCCAUAGAACAGAUUAAGUUAUGGCAAUACAAUAUGUCAAAAAUGUGAGUCCCCGUGAAAAAAUCGAGUGCGAAUAAAAAAUUUUCGCGUUCAAUA
Long non-coding RNA from Venturia canescens, 558 nucleotides. RefSeq lists it as uncharacterized. Lineage: Eukaryota; Metazoa; Arthropoda; Insecta; Hymenoptera; Ichneumonidae. The transcript is spliced from 2 exons. The record is from RefSeq and is a predicted model, not a curated record.